UAAAGUUGUUGCAGUUAAAAAGCCCGUAGUUGAAUUUCGGGGUCAGCAAGUUGGUCGUGCCACUGGUAUGUACUAGCUUUACUGAUUCCUCCUUCUUGCAGAACCGUAAUGCCAUUAAUUUGGUGUUGCGGGGAAACAGGACUGUUACUUUGAAAAAAUUAGAGUGUUUAAAGCAGGCUAACGCUUGAAUACAUUAGCAUGGAAUAAUGAAAUAGGACGUUCGAUCCUAUUUUGUUGGUUUCUAGGAUUGACGUAAUGAUUAAUAGGG
This 268-nucleotide ribosomal RNA is filed under the name uncultured Glomus. RNAcentral's name for it is "partial small subunit ribosomal RNA". It matches the Rfam family "Eukaryotic small subunit ribosomal RNA", at positions 605 to 877 of the family's 1831-position model. The record is from RNAcentral. Lineage: Eukaryota; Fungi; Glomeromycota; Glomeromycetes; Glomerales; Glomeraceae.